Molecule: transfer RNA, 74 nt
Filed under: Stenotrophomonas phage vB_SmaS-DLP_6
Lineage: Duplodnaviria; Heunggongvirae; Uroviricota; Caudoviricetes
Rfam family: tRNA
About the family: Transfer RNA (tRNA) molecules are approximately 80 nucleotides in length. Their secondary structure includes four short double-helical elements and three loops (D, anti-codon, and T loops).
Source: Rfam by way of RNAcentral
GCGCCAUUAGCUCAACUGGAUAGAGCAACUUCUUUCUAGGCUGUGGGUUGAGGGUUCGAAUCCUUCAUGGCGCA